UAGAAGAAAMUUAGGUUAAACAAUAAACCAAGAGCCUUCAAAGCCCCAAAUAGGGAUUAAAAGCCCCCUAGUUUYY
RNAcentral lists this transfer RNA (76 nucleotides) under Dierogekko poumensis. RNAcentral's name for it is "tRNA-Trp". Lineage: Eukaryota; Metazoa; Chordata; Lepidosauria; Squamata; Diplodactylidae. The record is from RNAcentral.